UCGGGAAUUUUGGGCAAUGGGGGAAACCCUGACCCAGCAACGCCGCGUGAAGGAUGAAGUAUUUCGGUAUGUAAACUUCGAAAGAAUAGGAAGAAUAAAUGACGGUACUAUUUAUAAGGUCCGGCUAACUACGUGCCAGCAGCCGCGGUAAUACGUAGGGACCAAGCGUUGUUCGGAUUUACUGGGCGUAAAGGGCGCGUAGGCGGCAUGACAAGUCACUUGUGAAAUCUCUGGGCUUAACCCAGAACGGCCAAGUGAUACUGUCGCGCUAGAGUGCAGAAGGGGCAAUCGGAAUUCUUGGUGUAGCGGUGAAAUGCGUAGAUAUCAAGAGGAACACCUGAGGUGAAGACGGGUUGCUGGGCUGACACUGACGCUGAGGCGCGAAAGCCAGGGGAGCAAACGGGAUUAGAUACCCAGGUAGUCCCUGAGCGGGCUGG
This 437-nucleotide ribosomal RNA is filed under the name uncultured bacterium. RNAcentral's name for it is "bacterial SSU rRNA". It matches the Rfam family "Bacterial small subunit ribosomal RNA", at positions 355 to 812 of the family's 1533-position model. The record is from RNAcentral.